RNAcentral lists this non-coding RNA (32 nucleotides) under Geobacter sulfurreducens PCA. The record is from RNAcentral. Lineage: Bacteria; Pseudomonadati; Thermodesulfobacteriota; Desulfuromonadia; Geobacterales; Geobacteraceae.
CUGCGGGAACAGCAGGCCGAACGCCUGGGCCA